RNA transcript from Salvia hispanica, 1664 nucleotides. It is a transcript of the gene named protein DETOXIFICATION 25-like, with no coding region annotated. NCBI's taxonomy places the organism in Eukaryota, Viridiplantae, Streptophyta, Magnoliopsida, Lamiales, Lamiaceae. The record is from RefSeq and is a predicted model, not a curated record.
ACCAAAAAACGCUUAAGCCCAACCAUUUCAAUCACCAUAACUAAUCUCUAUCCUCCCCCAUGGAUGAAUGCAUGCAACAAAAUCUGCUCAAUCCAACGCCACAAUCAGUACAUGUCGACUUGAAGUUGAAGGCAAAAAUCUAUCAAGAAUCCAAGAAAAUAUGGCGAGUAGCAUUGCCUAGCAUCAUCUCAAGAGUUACUUCAUUUGCCACUAUAGUUGUCACUCAAUCUUUCAUUGGACACAUCAACUCUACCCAUCUUGCCGCCUAUGCUCUUGUCCAAACCCUCAUCGUCCGAUUCGUCAAUGGAAUAGUGAUUGGGAUGUCGAGCGCAACUGAAACCUUGUGCGGGCAAGCCUAUGGGGCGAAGCAGCAUCACAUGAUGGGGAUCUUCCUGCAACGUUCGUGGCUGGUGGAUUUGGUCAGCCUAACCUUACUCCUCCCCCUCUUCGUCUUCGCGACGCCUAUAUUCCUGGCGUUGGGGGAGGAUGAGGCCAUUGCUGCUUCGGCGGGGUACAUCUCCCUGUGGUUCAUCCCGUUCGUGUACAGCAUCGUCUUCGCCCUCACCAUCCAGAUGUACCUGCAGGCGCAGCAGAAGAACAUGGUGGUGGCAUGGCUCUCCGCAGCCCAGCUGGCCAUCCACGUCCCCUUGUCUUGGCUCUUGGUGACCGUCAUGGACUUGGGGGUGGCCGGGGCAAUGUGCGCACUCUGUGUGUCGUCGUGGCUGGUCGUUGCGGGGGAGUUUGUUUACAUAUUUGGAGGGUGGUGUCACCAUUCUUGGACAGGAUUCACCAUGGCUGCUUUUCAUGACAUUAUUCCUGUCGUCAAGCUCUCUAUUUCCUCUGGCGUCAUGCUCUGUUUGGAGCUAUGGUACUAUGCCAUUUUGGUGUUGCUAGCCGGCUACAUGAAAAAUGCUCAAGUUUCAAUCUCUGCCUUCUCUAUAUGCCUGAAUGUGAGCGGGUUGGAGUUCAUGAUCAGCAUGGGCAUGAUGGGUGCUGCAAUUGUGAGGGUGGCGAACGAGCUGGGCGCAGGCGACGCAGCGGCCACGAGGUUCUCGAUUAAGGUGGUGAUGGCCACAUCGGUGGUGAUAGGGGCGGUUUUCUGGAUCCUCUGUUUAAUUUUUGGCAGCAAACUGGGCUACUUGUUUACCCGGGACGAGGAUGUUGUUGUGGCGGUCGCCGGCCUCUCUCUUUUGCUUGCCUUCACGCUCUUGCUCAAUGCCAUAUAUCCCGUCCUCUCAGUUUGUUCGGUGCAGGUGUUGCUAUUGGAGCAGGGCUGCAGAGCAAAGUUGCGAUUAUUAGCUUCGUUUGUUUUUAUGCCAUUGGAUUGCCUAUUGGAGCUGUGCUUGGAUAUGUGGUUCAUCUCCAAGCAAAGGGGAUAUGGAUUGGGAUGAUGAGCGGAGUUGUGACUCAAACUCUUGCACUAUGUUACAUGACUUGGAAAACAGAGUGGGAUGAACAGGUUUUGAUAGCUUCAGCUCGUCUCAAGAGAUGGCACCUCAAAUCUGGAGAAGAAAAUCAACACCACAAUUCUGAUAAUCAUUCUUAGCCAUCCAACCCACAAAUCACUCUUUAUUCUUCUCAAUGCUUGUAUUUGAAUUUUUCUUUAAAUAAGAUGGCCGUUUAAUGAUUCACACAAUGAAUGUUGAGUGAGAUGGUAGAAGAUA